UGGGGUGUAGCCAAGCGGUAAGGCAGCGGACUUUGACUCCGCCAUUCGCAGGUUCGAAUCCUCCCACCCCAGUGUAAA
This 78-nucleotide transfer RNA is filed under the name Prionitis asiatica. RNAcentral's name for it is "Grateloupia asiatica tRNA-Gln". It matches the Rfam family "tRNA". From Rfam's summary of the family: Transfer RNA (tRNA) molecules are approximately 80 nucleotides in length. Their secondary structure includes four short double-helical elements and three loops (D, anti-codon, and T loops). The record is from RNAcentral. Lineage: Eukaryota; Rhodophyta; Florideophyceae; Halymeniales; Halymeniaceae.